UACGUGAAACCGUUCAGGGGUAAACCUGAGAAACCCGAAAGUUCGAAGGCGGAGAUUCAGUAGCUUACCGUUGUUCGACGACCAUUUCGAGGCGGCGUAAUCAACUCGGCGUUCGCGCUGGGGUGCGUCCGUUCUCGGGGCGUCGUUCACGGCGCGUGCAUUUCUCCGUUAGUAGGACGUCGCGACUUGUUGGAUGUCGGUUUAAGGCCCGUUCGGUAGCCCGUCGGGUGCGAUUUGCGUCGCAUCCCGACGGACCGACGCGGUGUCCCGACCGACGUCCGACAGUGUAUUGUGGCGCAGGGCCGCCUUAGUUGGCGUCCGGCCCGUCGCAAAAUUUGCGCGUUCCGUCGAUCUUCGGUGCUCAGCCACCGGUUCGCGGACCGCAGGUUUCUUGCGGCGGCGUUCUCGGACAGACCCCGAUCACGCCCGUCUGCGACGCUAUUGCUUUGGGUACUUUCAGGACCCGUCUUGAAACACGGACCAAGGAGUCCAGCGUGUGCGCGAGUCAUUGGGUACUAUCGAAACCUAAAGGCGAAAUGAAAGUGAAGGCGUACUUAGCGUGCACUUAGGGAAGAUGGGCGCGUUUAUUCGCGCCUCGCACUCCCGGGGCGUCUCUUUCUCAUUGCGAGAAAAGGCGCACCAAGAGCGUACACGCUGGGACCCGAAAGAUGGUGAACUAUGCCUGGUCAGGACG
Molecule: ribosomal RNA, 694 nt
Filed under: Coleoptera sp. NZAC 03013328
Lineage: Eukaryota; Metazoa; Arthropoda; Insecta; Coleoptera
Description: eukaryotic LSU rRNA
Rfam family: Eukaryotic large subunit ribosomal RNA
Source: RNAcentral